GACGAACGCUGGCGGCGUGCUUAACACAUGCAAGUCGCACGGAAAGGCCCUUCGGUGUACUCGAGUGGCGAACGGGUGAGUCACACGUGGCUGAUCUGGCCUGCACUUUGGGAUAAGCAUGGGAAACUGGAUCUAAUACCGAAUAGGACCACGCGCUCCAUGGUGAGUGGUGGAAGGCUUGUGCGGAGUGGGAUGGGCCCGCGGCCUAUCAGCUUGGUGGUGGGGUAAUGGCAUACCAAGGCCAGGACGGGUAGCCGGCCUGAGAGGGUGAGCGGCCACACUGGGACGGAGAUGCGGCCCAGACUCCUACGGGAGGCAGAAGUGGGGAAUAGUGCACAAGGGGCGGAAGGCUGAUGCAGCGACGCCGCGUGAGGGAUGACGGCCUUCGGGUUGUAAACCUCUUUCACCAGGGACGAAGCGUAAGUGACGGUACCUGGAGAAGAAGCACCGGCUAACUACGUG
This 462-nucleotide ribosomal RNA is filed under the name uncultured bacterium. Its description in RNAcentral is "partial 16S ribosomal RNA". It matches the Rfam family "Bacterial small subunit ribosomal RNA", at positions 28 to 507 of the family's 1533-position model. The record is from RNAcentral.